This 2669-nucleotide long non-coding RNA is filed under the name Cinara cedri. Lineage: Eukaryota; Metazoa; Arthropoda; Insecta; Hemiptera; Aphididae. The record is from RNAcentral.
UUUUAUCCCCUCGGGUGGAUUCGGUAAAAAACAUGUUAUAAAAAUAAAUAACAUUAUCGGCAUUAAUUGUUUAUUUAUUUUCCGAUCAGUGCGGGCUUUUUCUCCAGAAACCGUGCGUAUCAAUUACAUGAUAAUUAUCUUUAUGUAAUAUUGUAAUACACGGAUUAUAUUUGAACUGUAUAUUUAGAUUCUGAGCGCAGCGAGUAAAAUUUAUAUUAUUGGAUAGUGAAUAACGAAUAAACACUUGUUAUAGUAUGAUGUAUUUUUUUUUCUGUCUGUUAACAAAUAUCCCAUCAAAGUUCUUGGUCUGAUCGUUAAUUUUAGGGAUGUAAAAUUUUGUCUCGUUAAUACAUUGGCGAGGUUAUUUUUUAAUUUGUCCACGUAGUUUUAUUAAUAAUCGAGGGAAAACGGGACGAUUUACACAAUAAUGGUUUCUGUUAUUUUCGAUGCGUAGUUCCAUCAAAAACGUUCACUGAACUCUUAUAUCAGCCUUUUCUAUAGGCAUGAUAAAAUUCCUCAAAAAUUUCGGAAAUUUUCGAAGCUAUGUACAAUUAUUUGAAAUUAUCGAGUUUUUUAAAAGUUUUGUGGGUAAAAUAAUUGUUUAGGAAAAAUGCUCGAAAAUUUAACACGAGGUUUUUCAUAAGAUUUGCUCGAUGGUUGAAAAAGCAAAUUUGAGCGUUAUACCACGAAUGUCGUUCUUUUUAUAACCGUUUAAAGUUCAAAUUUUUAUGAAAAUCCGUGAAAUUCUCAGUAUUUUAAAACAUGCCAAAAUAAACGAAUUUCUCUCAGAAUCGUUUUUCAGUAGCAAUGACAAUUUAUCGUUGCGUACAGAUAUAAAUUAAAUAACUUUCCCAACUUUUUCAUUUCUCAUUUACAGGCUACAGCAGUGGCAUACCCGUCAACAGUGUAUCAGCUCUUUUCUUUUUUAUAUAUAUUUAUACUCGUGUUUAUGUCUCUGAGAGAUUUUCUCGAGUUUCAAAAAGACUAUAAUAUCGUUUUAUCGGGAUAACGACGAUGUUAACGUCGUUUUUUUUCUGCAACGUUUGUUAAACUGCACUACUGCAUGUGUAUAGCAGGUACCUACAAUAUUACACCCCGCACCAGUGAAAUUGAUUUUUUCCUUUUGAUAUUUUGGAUAUUAUAUGCGUAUAUACGACCGCUGCAUUGUGAGAGGGGAGCGACGAAAAAGAAUACGCCAGUCGAAAUUCGAUUUUUUUUUUUUCUAAUUACACGCCGACAUCAAAUGACUCUCAUCUACAUUUAUAAAAUAUAUAUAUUUUUUACGCGUAUAUCGUAUAAUACAAAAGCUGCAAGCCCCCCUCUGAGUUGUUUCGUAAUUAGACACCGUUAUUUCUUGCACACGAUUGCAGUAUUGAACACUAAAAAUACGGAAUACUGCAAUUAAAAAAAAAAUAUAUUUAUUCCGACAGUCUUCCAUAAUAUGAGUUGCGGCUCUAUAAUGGCGUACUUUUAAUGUUAUAAUUAAUUCGGUUUUAUUUUCGCGUACUUACAAUACCAUAAACAAAAAAAAAAGACGACGACUUUCGAGUUUGGUUUAUACCGCGGUACCCUAUAAAAUCACUCGAGAUAAUCAAAGUUUUUCGUCGCUCAGGACCGUCGAAAAACUCCCGUAGAAUCAAAUUCCCGUCCAUCCAUAUUCAUAAAAUAUUCUUUGUAAAAUUAUGAAUAACCGAAUAAUUAAAUAAUACAAUACUAUACAUACCAAUAAUUUAUCGGAAAAAAAACAAUUGUUAGCAUAAAAAAUGACAGAGACUACGGAGGUUUAAAGUUAAAACCCCUCAAAAAAUCCAUUCUUGUAUCAUUUUUAUACACAUCAGAGGAUAUUUUAAGAACUUUUCACUAGAUAAACUACACUAGGUUCACUAAAUAAAAUUGAGCGUUUGAUCACGUUUUCCUCGCCUUCGACUUCAAAUUAAAUUUAAUCGUUCAAUAUAUUAUCAGAAUUGUCAUUCUAGGUUAGUAAAAUCAAUAACAAAUUUAAAUUUUACAAAUAUCUGUUAAAAUAACUAAAUUUUUUCAAACACAUCGGUAAUACAUUUUUAUAUUCCUAACAGAAUCUCCGAAGAGGUACAGACAAUUUUUUAAUACAAAAUCUCAAUCUAACAGAAAUUGGUCGGAAAACUAACUCUCGCCCAACCAUUUUGAUUACGUGAUAAUUAAAAAUAUAAUAAUUUAUCGAGUAUAUAUACAAGUAGAUACUUGCAGUCACUAUGCAUAAUUGAUUUCAAAGUUUUUAUACCGCUAAGAAUCACCGUAAUUAUAUAUAGGUACUUGCUUUUGAAAUUUUGAAGUCUUGUUUUGUCGAGCGAUAGGAAAUCAGAAAUAACAAUGGCAUUCGAAUAAUUAAAUGCGAAAUGAAAAAAAAAAGAAAAAAGUGAACACUGACAUGGAAAAAAUAAAUUAAAAAGACGGGCAUUCUAUUCGCACGUGGGUGCAGCCACUGUUGUAGGUGGGAAGUUGGGAAAGUAGGAUAUAGAAGGGAAUUUAAUGCAUAUCUAUAAGCAACGAUAAACCAUUUCUAACAAGAAAACCGAGUGGAGUUCAGUUGAAAGUUAUGUUUCGUCAACAAUAUAUAUGUCAUAUUAAAGUAUAAUGCAUAAUAUUGAACACAACUAAUUACCCAGGAAACACCUAUAUUUUUGUGUAAU